CCCUCAUGAGGCAGCCCCGGGCAGCGCCUCGCCUGAAGGGCCGCGUCCGGGCGUUUCUGUGAGGAAAAGCUGUGGUUUCGUUCCGAAGAAACGCCGCCUCCCGCCGGUACCGAGCUGGUCCUGAGGCGGCACCGCGCCCAGAGGGGCAGAGAAAUGCAUGCUGAGCCCUCCCCUGUGUGUACACCCUCUGACCUAACAUCGGCACAGGCGUGGAUGCACACUGUGAGGUCUUCGGAGACAUGACACCUUUAUGCAUUAUCUAUACACAGGGUGAAAUAUAUGUAAAUAAAUCACACCACCAAUGCUGUCUUUUCAUUCACCUGUGGAAUGCUUCAUAUGAAUUACUGGGUCGUGUAAAAUACAUGCUUUAAGUUCCAUUUGA
Molecule: long non-coding RNA, 382 nt
Organism: Cygnus olor (mute swan)
Lineage: Eukaryota; Metazoa; Chordata; Aves; Anseriformes; Anatidae
Exons: 3
Source: RefSeq, a predicted model, not a curated record